GUGCCAGCCGCCGCGGUAAGACGAAGGUGGCAAGCGUUGUUCGGAUUCACUGGGCAUAAAGGGCGCGUAGGCGGUUCCGAAAGUGGCAUGUGAAAUCCUCUGGCUCAACCAGAGAAGUGCGUGCCAAACUUCGGUUCUAGAGGAUGGUAGGGGGGACUGGAACUCUCGGUGGAGCGGUGAAAUGCGUAGAUAUCGAGAGGAACACCGGUGGCGAAGGCGAGUCCCUGGUCCAUCACUGACGCUGAGGCGCGAAAGCGUGGGUAGCAAACAGGAUUAGAAACCCCUGUAGUCC
This 292-nucleotide ribosomal RNA is filed under the name uncultured bacterium. RNAcentral's name for it is "partial 16S ribosomal RNA". It matches the Rfam family "Bacterial small subunit ribosomal RNA", at positions 505 to 796 of the family's 1533-position model. The record is from RNAcentral.